CGCUGGCGGCGUGCUUAACACAUGCAAGUCGAACGGAACUUAUUGGAUCAAGACUUCGGUCAAGUGAAUUUAAGUUUAGUGGCGGACGGGUGAGUAACGCGUGAGGAACCUGCCUUUCAGAGGGGGACAACAGUUGGAAACGACUGCUAAUACCGCAUAACGCAUAUUGAUCGCAUGGUCGAUAUGCCAAAGAUUUAUCGCUGAAAGAUGGCCUCGCGUCUGAUUAGCUAGUUGGUGAGGUAACGGCUCACCAAGGCGACGAUCAGUAGCCGGUCUGAGAGGAUGAACGGCCACAUUGGGACUGAGAUACGGCCCAGACUCCUACGGGAGGCAGCAGUGGGGAAUAUUGGGCAAUGGGGGAAACCCUGACCCAGCAACGCCGCGUGAAGGAAGAAGGCCUUCGGGUUGUAAACUUCUUUUACCAGGGACGAAGAACGUGACGGUACCUGGAGAAAAAGCAACGGCUAACUACGUG
RNAcentral lists this ribosomal RNA (475 nucleotides) under uncultured bacterium. RNAcentral describes it as "bacterial SSU rRNA". It matches the Rfam family "Bacterial small subunit ribosomal RNA", at positions 34 to 507 of the family's 1533-position model. The record is from RNAcentral.